GCAAGUCGAACGGUAAAAUAGAGACGCUUGCUUCUUUGAUGACGAGUGGCGGACGGGCGAGUAAUGCUUGGGAAUCUGGCUUAUGGAGGGGGAUAACUACGGGAAACUGUAGCUAAUACCGCGUAAUAUCGAAAGAUUAAAGUGUGGGACCUUCGGGCCACAUGCCAUAGGAUGAGCCCAAGUGGGAUUAGGUAGUUGGUGAGGUAAAGGCUCACCAAGCCAACGAUCUCUAGCUGGUCUGAGAGGAUGAUC
Molecule: ribosomal RNA, 252 nt
Filed under: uncultured bacterium
Lineage: Bacteria
Description: partial 16S ribosomal RNA
Rfam family: Bacterial small subunit ribosomal RNA
Source: RNAcentral